This 345-nucleotide unclassified non-coding RNA is filed under the name soil metagenome. Its description in RNAcentral is "partial contains 5.8S ribosomal RNA, internal transcribed spacer 2, and large subunit ribosomal RNA". The stretch from base 1 to 119 matches the Rfam family "5.8S ribosomal RNA", at positions 35 to 154 of the family's 154-position model. The record is from RNAcentral.
GAUGAAGAACGUAGCGAAAUGCGAUACGUAAUGUGAAUUGCAAGUUCAGUGAAUCAUCGAGUCUUUGAACGCACAUUGCGCCCCCUGGUAUUCCGGGGGGCAUGCCUGUCCGAGCGUCAUUGCUGCCCUCAAGCACGGCUUGUGUGUUGGGCCCCGUCCUCCGAUUCCGGGGGACGGGCCCGAAAGGCAGCGGCGGCACCGCGUCCGGUCCUCGAGCGUAUGGGGCUUUGUCACCCGCUCUGUAGGCCCGGCCGGCGCUUGCCGAUCAACCCAAAUUUUUAUCCAGGUUGACCUCGGAUCAGGUAGGGAUACCCGCUGAACUUAAGCAUAUCAAUAAGCGGAGGA